This 104-nucleotide small nuclear RNA is filed under the name Cervus hanglu yarkandensis (Yarkand deer). The record is from RNAcentral. Lineage: Eukaryota; Metazoa; Chordata; Mammalia; Artiodactyla; Cervidae.
GUGCUCGCUUCAGCAGCACAUAUACUAAAAUUGGAACAAUACAGAGAUUAGUAUGGCCCCUGCACAAGGAUGACAUGCAAAUUUGUGAAGUGUUCUAUAUUAAA